GAGAGCAUAGCUCAGCCGGUAGAGCAACGGCCUUUUAAGUCGUAGGUCGAGGGUUCGAUCCCCUCUGCUCUCACCA
Molecule: transfer RNA, 76 nt
Filed under: Bauldia sp.
Lineage: Bacteria; Pseudomonadati; Pseudomonadota; Alphaproteobacteria; Hyphomicrobiales; Kaistiaceae
Description: tRNA-Lys
Rfam family: tRNA
About the family: Transfer RNA (tRNA) molecules are approximately 80 nucleotides in length. Their secondary structure includes four short double-helical elements and three loops (D, anti-codon, and T loops).
Source: RNAcentral